This is a long non-coding RNA of Esox lucius (northern pike), 305 nucleotides long. RefSeq lists it as uncharacterized. The transcript has 3 exons. Lineage: Eukaryota; Metazoa; Chordata; Actinopteri; Esociformes; Esocidae. The record is from RefSeq and is a predicted model, not a curated record.
AUCCCCACAACUUAGCCGUCAGGCCUCGGCCAACCAGCACGCUCCGAGCUCCAACGUUACCAUGGAUACAGCUCCUACCAUGCAGGAGGUAAAUGGACCACUUUGAUGGAUAAGACAAAGUGAGAAAGACUAACCAGAGCAGAAGCCACUUGUCCGGCCAUGAUGAAGAUUUGUUUCUCAGUGAUGUCACAUGGGUGCUCACUGUCUGUGCCCUGCCAAAGAGCACUAUGAGCACCAUACCUGUCGACACCGCCACAGGAACCCCAGCAGAUCCCUGUGCUCCAGUUCCUCCAUCACAAUGAUGA